This 467-nucleotide ribosomal RNA is filed under the name uncultured bacterium. RNAcentral's name for it is "bacterial SSU rRNA". It matches the Rfam family "Bacterial small subunit ribosomal RNA", at positions 28 to 507 of the family's 1533-position model. The record is from RNAcentral.
GACGAACGCUGGCGGCGUGCUUAACACAUGCAAGUCGAACGGACCUGUUUUUGAAGCGCUUCGGCGUGGAUGGAGCGGGUCAGUGGCGCACGGGUGAGUAAUGCGCGAGGACCUGCCCGCGGGAGGGGGACAGCAGUUGGAAACGGCUGGUGAUACCCCGUAAGCCGGGAGGUAAAAGGGCGGAGACGCCCGCCUGCGGAUGGACUCGCGUCCUAUCAGCUAGUUGGUGAGGCAACGGCUCACCAAGGCGACGACGGGUAGCCGGCCUGAGAGGGUGACCGGCCACACUGGAACUGAGACACGGUCCAGACUCCUACGGGAGGCAGCAGUGGGGAAUUUUGGGCAAUGGGGGAGACCCUGACCCAGCGACGCCGCGUGAGGGACGAAGGCCCUUGGGUCGUAAACCUCUUUUGCAGGGGAAGAAGCGAUUGACGGUACCUUGCGAAUAAGUCCCGGCUAACUACGUG